GACGAACGCUGGCGGCGUGCCUAAUACAUGCAAGUUGAGCGCUGAAGGUUGGUACUUGUACCGACUGGAUGAGCAGCGAACGGGUGAGUAACGCGCGGGGAAUCUGCCUUUGAGCGGGGGACAACAUUUGGAAACGAAUGCUAAUACCGCAUAAAAACUUUAAACACAAGUUUUAAGUUUGAAAGAUGCAAUUGCAUCACUCAAAGAUGAUCCCGCGUUGUAUUAGCUAGUUGGUGAGGUAAAGGCUCACCAAGGCGAUGAUACAUAGCCGACCUGAGAGGGUGAUCGGCCACAUUGGGACUGAGACACGGCCCAAACUCCUACGGGAGGCAGCAGUAGGGAAUCUUCGGCAAUGGACGAAAGUCUGACCGAGCAACGCCGCGUGAGUGAAGAAGGUUUUCGGAUCGUAAAACUCUGUUGGUAGAGAAGAACGUUGGUGAGAGUGGAAAGCUCAUCAAGUGACGGUAACUACCCAGAAAGGGACGGCUAACUACGUG
This 497-nucleotide ribosomal RNA is filed under the name uncultured bacterium. RNAcentral describes it as "partial 16S ribosomal RNA". It matches the Rfam family "Bacterial small subunit ribosomal RNA", at positions 28 to 507 of the family's 1533-position model. The record is from RNAcentral.